Molecule: long non-coding RNA, 1378 nt
Filed under: Heterocephalus glaber (naked mole-rat)
Lineage: Eukaryota; Metazoa; Chordata; Mammalia; Rodentia; Bathyergidae
Description: lncRNA (ENSHGLG00100044667.1)
Source: RNAcentral
GGACCAUUCACCAUUUUUCUAGGUGAUGUUUGGUUGGAGUAGAGCCAUUAUUGUCUAAAACCCUUGUUUUGUGCCAGGACGCUUCUCCCCUGAGCCAUUGGCUAGCAUGAGGAGUGAGGAGGCUUUGUUCUCCCUUCAUCCGGGCCGUUGGUGUUUCCAGAUUGCUGGUCUCUUAAGCUCCAAAUCUGGGGUAUGUGAGGCACAAAGAAAACUCAGGAGCUCAGAUCCCAGCUCGCCUGCUUCUUCCCAUGACCAUGAUAAUCACCUUGUGUUUAUAGAUGGUCUUGACUUACGAUGGUUCCGUUUAAGCCUUGACUUUAUGAUGAUAAAAAGUGAUAAGCAUUCAGUGGAAACCAGACUUCAGAGUUUUGAUUUCAUCUUUUCUCAGGCUAGCAGUAGGCAGCUCAUUACACUCUCUCUUGAGCUUCAGCUCCCAGUCAGUUACAUGAUCGUGAGGGGAAACAGCUGGUUAUCUACAGCGCGUUGUGUCGCUAGCACUUUUGGUUACUGUGUCUGCACGUCCCAUCAUGCCUAUGAAAUGCCCAUCUGUGCAGCUACAGGAGAGAUUUGACACUUUAUUAUAAAACAGGUUUUGUGUUAGCUGGUUUUUCCCAACUGUAGGCUAAUGUAAGUGUUCUGAGCAUGUUUAAGACAGGCUAGGCUAAGUUAUGAUGGUCGGUAGGUUAGGUCUGUUAAGUGCAUUUUAUGUUUAUAAUACUUUAAGCCUACAAUGGAUUUAUCAGGACAUAACCCUAUCAUAAGUAUAUAUAUAAGUAUAUAUACAUAAGUAUAUAUACAUAAGUAUAUAUAAUUAUUUUACAUAUAAUGCCCAGGCUCUUCAUUGUGCUGAGUGGAAGAAAUAGGGAAAAGCAUAUUUAUUCCAUGUACCUACAAGCAGAUGCUUAUUGAUGUGUAAGAUUUCUUUAUGUAUUUGAAAUAGUAAUCCUCCACCAGGGAAUACUAUUAUAUCUAUUGAAAAUACAAGUUCACAGUUUGUGGCUCUUUAAAAACAUUUUAAUGAUAUUUUUGACAGCUAUUUUUACAGAUGUUCUUGAUUUUGAUGUAGUUUCAUUUAUUGUUCUUUCUUUCUUAGAGUAGGUGAUAUUUGUUUCUUGUUUAAGAAAUAACCCUUUUCCCAGGGGAAGGGAAGAUAAUCUCUUGAAAUUUCUUCCAAAAAUUUAGUAUUUUUGCUUCUUGCAUUUAAAUUCUUAGUCCUCCUGGAAUUGAUUUUGGUGUAUGUAACAGGGCAGGGAUCCAAUGUCAUAUUUUAAGAUUGCUUAAUUGAAGUGUUACUGAUAUAUUUAAAGUGUGCAAAUGAUAAGUUUUGACAUAUACCUGUGUACACCUUUAUAACUACUCUAUAAUACAGAAAAUAAAC